GAGUAGCACUUUGCGGGCGGUAUGGUUCAAUUCAAUAAUUAAAAAUUCUUCUGUGCAUACUGCAUACUAUCAGGACUAAAUAAAUGAAUGUCCUUCUACAAACAUGUUUGAUAAAUUUAGUGACGACUUGGAUAUAGACAGUGCAAGUCUUGCACAAUCUAGAGUCUAGAUAUGAUAAUCUCUUGUUCAUGGUAUAAGUUUGAGGAAUGGCUCAUCCAUUGAGUUAAAACCUAAGAAAGCUUGCACUCCCUACUAAGUUAGCUAUUAAUGGAUGUUUGCCCUUUUGUAGAUCCAUCUUUUCUUAUAUAAACUUAUUUUGGAUUGCAAUUGGUGGGCAAUAUUGCGUCAAUCAAACAUCUCUAUGCUAGCUUCUUCUUCCAUUGCCUUCUUUUCCCCAUACACCUCAAACUUAUGUUUCCAGCUCAUCUAUACACGAGUUUGCCUUUUUUUUUAUUUAUUUAUUUUGUUUGGCUUGUUGAAGUAAAAUGGAGGCCCAAUUCUCUUUUUAUUUGAAACUGAAUGCUUAUAUCCUUAUCAAAUUGCUUGUCCGUUUAUCACCUGGCUAGCAGUUUUCUCAUUGCAUAAUUGACUUGUUACUGAUUGUCUCUGGCUAUCAACUAAUAAAUCUUACGGCAUCCCUGAAUUUGUUAAGGAGUCUUGAUUAGCUAAUCUAGACAUCUGACUCUAUGUAUUUGUUUGUGAAAAUAGAAUCGUUUCACUGCUGAGGCCAUUCUGUUGGUUUUUAAUAGUGUCAUUGUCACAGGGGACUUUAAACUUGGAUUAGAGUCAAUGCUUUCAGUCAGGGGAAAGAGCAUUCAAUCAUGGAUUGGGGAUGAUAAUUUUGUUGUAGAGGAAACAGCUGUGAGCCCUGAGGUACCAUUUCUCUCCUUGAAUUUGAAUGCUCUUGCGGAACAACUAGCGAAAGUAGACAUUUCAGAGAGGCUCUUCAUUGAAGCAGACCUAUUACCACUGCAGCUGACUGGUGAUGGAUCAAAGCCAUGCAGCAGCCUGGAGUCAGAUCAAAUGCAAACAAGUGAAACUGAAGCAACAGCAACAUUCUCUGAAGAACCGACGCUAAAAGAUUUUUCCAAGAUGAAUAAGGUUGCAAACGAGAAUAUUGAGGUUACAUCAUCAGGAUCCAUUGUCAAUGGCCAUUUGAACGUGAAUUCAUUUAACCAAGGAUUUGAUUUAUUAAAUCAGACUAGGACUGAUCGAAAUUCAAGUCAAGACAGCAAACACAGUCAAAGCAGAGCUUUGGAGUGCCCAACAGAAUUCAACAUGAGUUCGGUUUCAGAACCCAAGAAGAAACGAUCCACAUUCGAGGCAUCAACUGCCGAGGCAGAACUGGAUAUGCUUCUUGACUCAUUUAGUGAGACAAAGCUGCUUGAUUCUUCUGGAUUCAUGUCUGCUACUAUUCCUGAGAAACAAAAAGAGGCCCCUGCACCUCUGCCACAACUCGCAAGAAAUACUCCGAGUUCUGGAAAAUCAACGCCCAUUGCUGCAAAACUAGAUGUACUGGAUGACUUACUUGAGGAAACGUCCAUUUUGACAGACAAAAACGGUUCAUAUCAGCUGACUAAGGUAACAGCUGCCCACGAUGAAAUUCAAUCGUCUUCCUCUCAGCCUGCAACUAAGUCAAAAGUUUUGGAUGAUUUUGAUUCAUGGUUAGAUACAAUUUGAAUCUUUGUAAGCAAAAACACCCCACUUGCGCAUCCUUAUUUGUUGUGUUUGAUGCUCUAUACGAGGAAUUAAACCACUGAAUUAAAGCUUAUUGGUAUACUUUUUUUCCCCAUUAUGAGGAUGCAUAUCAUUUUUGUGGGUAAUCAAGGCUCAAAGCUCUUAAACUUUCCCAUCAUGAAAGCAACAAUAUGAGAAUUUGAAUCAAACAUUGCAGUUUUCCACUGCAACUUGCAGCUUCACCUUUUUAUUCAUCUGUCAAACAACUGGAAACCAGGAGGUGUAUUCUAAUUAAUCUUCAAUACAUGCAAAUUAAAUGGGAUUGGAUUUGAUUUGAUUUUUUUUUCUUUUUUA
Molecule: unclassified non-coding RNA, 2031 nt
Filed under: Hevea brasiliensis (rubber tree)
Lineage: Eukaryota; Viridiplantae; Streptophyta; Magnoliopsida; Malpighiales; Euphorbiaceae
Source: RNAcentral